CAGUAGGUCUCUUCAUUUGUGAGUGUGUGUGGGGACUCUCCUGUUUUGAAGGGCAGAUAUUAGUGUGUGUGUGUGUUCCUAGCUGUAUGCAGCUAUGCGGAAGCCUUCUUCCUGUGUUUGUUCUCACUGUGGGCUGCUGCUUCUGUCGUUAGCCACGGAACAGAAAGCGCUGUGUUCUCAAGCUCUCCUAUCUCCUCUCUCGCUCUCUUCAUUUCACCUUUUGCAUGUUCACUAUUCAUCCUUUCAUUCCACAGCAUCGGCAGAGAUCGUUUUAAUCACUCCUUGAUGGUCUUUAAUCAACUGUCUUCUGUUAUUUCAUCCUUGUCUGUCUUCAUGCGUUUGUUAACUCUUGGUCUCAGCCAUCGUUUGGAUUAGCUGUGUUUGCCAAGAAGCUGCAGAGCAGAGAGAGAGUCUUCCCUGGGCUCUGUAUUUGGGGGUUCCACACAGAGUGUGGAUGCGGAGCUUGGUGAGCUGUGGGGGCAAGAAGAGAGGCAGCGGCUGGGCGAAGAGGGAGAGAGGAGGAGGGAGGAGAGAAG
Molecule: long non-coding RNA, 536 nt
Organism: Salvelinus fontinalis (brook trout)
Lineage: Eukaryota; Metazoa; Chordata; Actinopteri; Salmoniformes; Salmonidae
Exons: 3
Source: RefSeq, a predicted model, not a curated record